RNAcentral lists this ribosomal RNA (1149 nucleotides) under Parahaemophilus parainfluenzae. RNAcentral describes it as "Haemophilus parainfluenzae bacterial LSU rRNA". The stretch from base 1 to 999 matches the Rfam family "Bacterial large subunit ribosomal RNA", at positions 1928 to 2925 of the family's 2925-position model. Lineage: Bacteria; Pseudomonadati; Pseudomonadota; Gammaproteobacteria; Pasteurellales; Pasteurellaceae. The record is from RNAcentral.
CGGCGGCCGUAACUAUAACGGUCCUAAGGUAGCGAAAUUCCUUGUCGGGUAAGUUCCGACCUGCACGAAUGGCAUAAUGAUGGCCAGGCUGUCUCCACCCGAGACUCAGUGAAAUUGAAAUCGCCGUGAAGAUGCGGUGUACCCGCGGCUAGACGGAAAGACCCCGUGAACCUUUACUAUAGCUUGACACUGAACAUUGAAUUUUGAUGUGUAGGAUAGGUGGGAGACUAUGAAGAUGAUACGCCAGUAUUGUUGGAGUCGACCUUGAAAUACCACCCUUUAACGUUUGAUGUUCUAACGAAGAUUGCGAAACGCGGUCUCGGACAGUGUCUGGUGGGUAGUUUGACUGGGGCGGUCUCCUCCCAAAGAGUAACGGAGGAGCACGAAGGUUUGCUAAUGACGGUCGGACAUCGUCAGGUUAGUGCAAUGGUAUAAGCAAGCUUAACUGCGAGACAGACAAGUCGAGCAGGUACGAAAGUAGGUCAUAGUGAUCCGGUGGUUCUGAAUGGAAGGGCCAUCGCUCAACGGAUAAAAGGUACUCCGGGGAUAACAGGCUGAUACCGCCCAAGAGUUCAUAUCGACGGCGGUGUUUGGCACCUCGAUGUCGGCUCAUCACAUCCUGGGGCUGAAGUAGGUCCCAAGGGUAUGGCUGUUCGCCAUUUAAAGUGGUACGCGAGCUGGGUUUAGAACGUCGUGAGACAGUUCGGUCCCUAUCUGCCGUGGGCGUUGGAGAAUUGAUUGGGGCUGCUCCUAGUACGAGAGGACCGGAGUGGACGCACCACUGGUGUUCCGGUUGUGUCGCCAGACGCAUUGCCGGGUAGCUAAGUGCGGAAGAGAUAAGUGCUGAAAGCAUCUAAGCACGAAACUUGCCAAGAGAUGAGUUCUCCCAGAUUACAAAUCUGUAAGGGUUGUUUAAGACUAAGACGUAGAUAGGCAGGGUGUAUAAGCGGUGUGAGCCGUUGAGCUAACCUGUACUAAUUGCCCAAGAGGCUUAACUAUACAACGCUCAAGGGUUUUGGGUGUUGGGUAAACAAAACAAACUCAGAGAAGAAGAAAGUUUUAAAGUUGAAUCAGCUUGUUUGGUUGUGAGCGCUAGAGAUAGCGGAGCAGAGAGAAAUAGAAAAGUUAUUAAAGGAAUAAUCCUGGCGG